AGGGCCAAAGAAUUCAUCACCUAAUGGGCAGCCCCCUGGAAAUAAAGCUUGCCCUCACAUUCCUUCCAACCUCAUUUCACCUAGUCACUAUACUUCAAGACAUAAAUGAAAAUUUCCUGAAUCCAUUAGAAUCAGUAGACAAAGUGAAGACAGAAUUCACCAACCACUUCUUGAAACUCUGAAAGAAAUCCAAGAAAUGUCAUAGCCAAGAACAAAAGCUGCCAUGUCAAAAAAAAAA
Long non-coding RNA from Phascolarctos cinereus (koala), 238 nucleotides. RefSeq lists it as uncharacterized. Lineage: Eukaryota; Metazoa; Chordata; Mammalia; Diprotodontia; Phascolarctidae. The record is from RefSeq and is a predicted model, not a curated record.